Molecule: ribosomal RNA, 419 nt
Filed under: uncultured Bacteroidota bacterium
Lineage: Bacteria; Pseudomonadati; Bacteroidota
Description: bacterial SSU rRNA
Rfam family: Bacterial small subunit ribosomal RNA
Source: RNAcentral
CUUAACCGUGGAAGUGCCUUCGAAACUGUUGCUCUUGAGUCCCGGAGAGGCUGUCGGAAUUCGUGGUGUAGCGGUGAAAUGCGUAGAUAUCACGAGGAACACCAGAGGCGAAAGCGGACAGCUGGACGGGUACUGACGCUCAGGCACGAAAGCGUGGGGAGCAAACAGGAUUAGAUACCCUGGUAGUCCACGCCGUAAACGAUGGAUGCUCGCCGUUGCCUCGUUAAGGGGCAGUGGCUAAGCUAACGCGUUAAGCAUCCCGCCUGGGGAGUACGAUCGCAAGGUUGAAACUCAAAGGAAUUGACGGGGGCCCGCACAAGCGGUGGAGCAUGUGGCUUAAUUCGAUGCAACGCGAAGAACCUUACCUAGGCUCGAACGCUAGGCGGCUGCUCCUGAAAGGGAGCUUCCCGCAAGGGCGC